UACGAAGGGGGCUAGCGUUGCUCGGAAUCACUGGGCGUAAAGGGUGCGUAGGCGGGUCUUUAAGUCAGGGGUGAAAUCCUGGAGCUCAACUCCAGAACUGCCUUUGAUACUGAGGAUCUUGAGUUCGGGAGAGGUGAGUGGAACUGCGAGUGUAGAGGUGAAAUUCGUAGAUAUUCGCAAGAACACCAGUGGCGAAGGCGGCUCACUGGCCCGAUACUGACGCUGAUGCACGAAAGCGUGGGGGAGCAAACAGG
This 254-nucleotide ribosomal RNA is filed under the name uncultured bacterium. RNAcentral describes it as "partial 16S ribosomal RNA". It matches the Rfam family "Bacterial small subunit ribosomal RNA", at positions 524 to 776 of the family's 1533-position model. The record is from RNAcentral.